UUCCAUCGCGACCCCAGGUCAGGCGGGAUUACCCGCUGAGUUUAA
This 45-nucleotide ribosomal RNA is filed under the name Matudaea trinervia. Its description in RNAcentral is "partial 26S ribosomal RNA". The record is from RNAcentral. Lineage: Eukaryota; Viridiplantae; Streptophyta; Magnoliopsida; Saxifragales; Hamamelidaceae.